CCCACGUCUCAUCCCCUCAGAUAAACAUUUAAUAUAAUUAUAACACACACAAUUUUACCCAAGUUCUGGAGGUACCCCAAAACCAGGGGGUACACCCUUAAAUCCAGUAUCCAGGGGAACAACAUAUCAAAAAUCCAGCCCAUUCGGUUAAAGCGUUCGGGAGUUAUGGGUCUUUGAAGUUUUGACCGACCGCACAGACUUUCUAGCUGAAAAU
Non-coding RNA from Pelobates cultripes (western spadefoot toad), 214 nucleotides. The record is from the annotation of a GenBank genome assembly. NCBI's taxonomy places the organism in Eukaryota, Metazoa, Chordata, Amphibia, Anura, Pelobatidae.